Molecule: RNA transcript, 5775 nt
Organism: Cryptomeria japonica (Japanese cedar)
Lineage: Eukaryota; Viridiplantae; Streptophyta; Pinopsida; Cupressales; Cupressaceae
Exons: 15
Source: RefSeq, a predicted model, not a curated record
CGUGAGAGCGGACGCUAAAACAUAAUAAAUUAUUUCACAAUCUUCCAUUCCUAUCAAUCAAAUUCUUUACAUUACUUAUUAUUAUUAUUAUUACCGAAAGAUACAAGGGUCGAAUCCUGCCCCUACUACGCGCAACAUAAAAUACACGCCAUUUUCGCUCUGCUGUUUUGAGCAGACCAAACCAAACAGAACAGAGAUGUUAUUGCAGUUGGAUAAUUACAAGCUAAAUUGAAGGAAUACAUAAAGAGCGGGGUGGAUAAUAAUUUCAGUGCGCAAGCAAUUUUGUUGUGGAAGUAUUGACAGGGAUGUUUUAGUUUGGUGACAUGGGAAUUUCAGAGGAAGAGGAUUGGAUACUAUAUUUGAUAAGCAGGUUAGGGUUUUUUCGAAAAUAGCAGGGGAUAUUGAACUUUUUAACAUUAUUGAGGGUUUCUAUGACAUGGCACCGGCUAAAAGGCGUGCAGGCAAAGCAUCCGCCUGCCAGAAAUGGAGUCUGGGUGAUCUUGUGCUGGCGAAGGUCAAGGGUUUUCCCGCAUGGCCCGCCAAGAUAAGUAAACCAGAAGAUUGGGGCCAGACGCAUGAUCCAAGGAAAGUUUUUGUGUAUUUUUUUGGCACAAAGGAAAUUGGCUUCUGUUUUCCAACUGAUAUCCAGACAUUCACCUUAGAUUUGAAAAAUAAAUUGACAGCUAAAUGUUAUGGAAGAACUGCAUCUGACUUUACUCGAGCAGUGGAGGAAAUUUGUGAAGAAUAUGAUGAUUUAGAAACAGAAAAGAGGGAUGUAACCCCAGAGAUUCAUAAAAUGAAGGCUAGAACAUGCAUUGACAGUUCAAAUGAUUCUGCAGAAAAGAUGUCAUUUAAAGAUUUAAAAAUGCAUGCUCCAACUCAUGAAUUAGAGGAAGUGUUGAAAGUUCAAAUUAAUGAUCGCAUUCAAAAACAUCGUGAGACAACAGUAAAGAAAAAUGACCUAUAUACAGAAGUACAUAGACAAGUAGAUGGCCAAAAGAAACGAGUAAAUAUGGGUGCAGGUGAGAGUAAGGAAAAAGAUGCAUCCCUCAUAAAACCCUCUGAUAAGAAAGAGGAGAAAAUUUUCAGUGAGUUAACAAUGGGUGUUAAAAUGCAAAACUCUGUUGCUACACCUAAAACAAAUCAUAUGAGGUCAUAUUUGAGGGAAGAGAAGGCUACAAGUCAUGCUGAGUACCAUGCAAAGAAUGAUCUUUCUUGUCCAGCAUCUGCAAUAGGUGAGUCAGAGAUUAAGAAAGUAAAAAGUGGUUUCAGGAGAACAUUGGAAAGUGAAAGUUAUGUAUACGAUCAUAAAGAGAAAAUGGCUGUCACUUGCCCUCUGCUUAAAGAAAAUGGUACGUCCUCUCCAGAUAAAGCACCCACUUUGGGGUGCUCUAUGACUGAACAUCAGUUUGAGCAGAAAGGAAAAAUCACUCCACAAGAAUUCCGAGAUGCUCAUUUGGCAACUCAAAGUGAUCAUCUAGAAGAGAGAAAAAUGGUAACAAAUAUACUUGCCAACAAUUUUGAAUAUUUUAAUUAUGAUGACACUGAAGGGAACAGUCAAUUUUCAGGCAUAAAUGAUAAUGCCAAAGAAGAGCAGGAUUUUGAAGACAUUAAUGCCAGCCCAAUUCUUAAUGAUAAAAAGCCCACUCAUUUUCCAUUUGUAAGUACAGAAGAGGGUGAGAAAGAAGUGACAGAUGGUGUCUUACAACAUAAUUCCAUUUUGAAGAAGAAACGGAACCUUCUAAAGAAACAUAAUCCUGGGACAUCAGUGCUAAAUGUUAACCAGGAAAAAAUGAAUGUUCUCACAGAAGAGGAAAAUGUGUUUGAAUUACUAUCAGGGACAGAUCAUCGGAAGAAAAGGACACAACUUCUUAAAGGGAGAAAGCAUAAACUUAAGCUUGAUGAAACUCUUCAUUUGCUAAAAAGAGCAAGAUCUCAUUCGGAAGAUGAAAUUGCUGUAAUGACAGAAGGCUUAAAUACAGAAAACAUAUCAAGUACCAUCAACAAUGCUGGGAAAAAUGCUAUAGUGGAUAAUGAUUUGUACUCACAUCAUAUGCCAUUCAAGUCUAAUGAUAGAAUGGGCUCUAGUAGUCCUCAAAUUGAAGCAAAUUCAUCACAUGGUGAGAAGUCCUCAUUUGUGCUUGGGAAGGCUAUGUGUCUGCCACCAAAGGCUGAUAAGUAUCGUUUGAGAAGCAGCUUACCAGGUGAUGAAGCUGCCUUGCCUCCCUCUAAACGGCGUCAUCGAGCUCAGGAAGCUAUGUCAGCAUGUGUUGCAGAAGCUGCUACUGCCUCGAACAUGACAAAUGGUUCAGAUGGACAGGAAGAUGCAUGGGGAAUUUCUUCACAUGAAAAACCAUUUACGGAAUGCUUUGAUAGUGAAAGGAAGUUAGUGCAUGGAAAUGAGGAUUGUAUGAAAAGAAGCCACUCUUCAUUUCCAGUAGAAGUAACUGGUACUGUAGUGAAGAAAUCUGUGAUGUUUCCAGAUCUGCAUCAAUCUUAUGGAAGCUUACUGUCAGAACCUUCUAACUGCUUAGAGAAGAAGCAGGUGAAUUCAAAGUUUGAAGAUUUAAUGACUCCUAUCCAGAGGGGUAAAUGGCAGACACUGGAGAAUGGUGAUUUGAAUGUGCAGCCCAAAAUUUCAGAUAGAUUGUCUUUGUCAUCUCAUAAAAAGGAUGAAUGGAAGCACAAUGGCAUGAUUGCAUCAAAGCUACCUUCUCCAAAGAAGCAAGAUGGAUCAGAGAUUAUUUUAAGAAGAGGUAAUUCACCUCACCAAUCUCCAAUUAAGGUUCAUGGUGCAGUAAGGGUUGAUGCUGAUGAACAUGAGAACAAAUCUAAGAGCAUCAAGGUAAAAAGGUCUUGUGUAACUCCAGGAAAGAAAAAUGGUGGAGGUUUGAGGAAAGAUCAAGGGCCAUCAGGAUCAGAUAAACAUAAUCAAGUGUCUUCUGGAUUAGAUAAACAUAAUCAAGUGCCUUUUGGAUCAGAUAAACAUAGUCAAGGGCAUUUACCUAAGCACUUGGCUGUGCGCAAGAAUGAACAAACUUCCCCUUCAAGAAGUGUGGUUGAACCUGCAGUAGAUAGGAUGGUAGCAUCUUCAAAAUCUAACUUGAAAAUAAAUGGUCCUCUAAUGGUCAAGUCUGAGCGUGUUUCAUAUUCUGCAGAGUUGCAUCUAGAGAAAGGAAGCAAACUUAGAGACACGCAUGAUUCUGCAAGGGAACUUAAACUCAAAACAAUGUCAAAGGACUCUGACAUUGCUCUCUCAUCUACAUCUAUGAAGCAUCUUAUAGCUGCUGCACAGGCUAAGAGAGAUCAGGCACGAUCUGCAACUAUGCCACAGUUUGUUGCAAAUGAAGAAACUGUGAAUUCUAUUCCUGUUUUUAUGUCAAGCCCUUCACCAAUCCGAGAAACUAGUUCACAUCGCUGUUCACCUCUUCAAUUACAUUCUGCCAGUGUGCCACACGAGGAUGCUAAGAAUGCCUUUGCUGGUGUGGAAUCUGGAAGCCCUCGAGGAAAUGUUGAUCAGUGGGGUUUAACAGAUACAAUGAAUCUGAGAUCAAGUGAAGAGGGUAAAAUUAGCUCUGAACAGAAAUCUGUUGGAGGAAUGCUUAGUGGAGACACAGAAGCAGCUGUUGCCAGGGACACUUUUGAAGGAAUGCUUGAAACAUUAUCAAGAACAAAGGAAAGUAUUGGACGAGCAACUCGCCAUGCCAUUGAUUGUGCUAAGUAUUGCAUUGCCACUGAGAUUGUAGAACUUCUUGUUCAGAGGCUGGAAAAUGAAUCGAGUUUCCAUCGGAGAAUUGAUCUGUUCUUUCUAGUAGAUUCAAUUACACAAUGUUCGCACAGCCAGAAGGGUAUUGCUGGAUCUUCAUAUAUUCCUGCUGUGCAAGGUGCUCUCCCACGGUUGUUAGCUGCAGCUGCUCCAACAGAAGGUGCUGCACGGGAAAAUCGUCGUCAAUGCCUUAAAGUUUUAAGAAUCUGGUUGGAACGCAAAAUUCUUCCUGAAUCUAUUCUGCGUCAAUACAUGAAUGAUAUUGGAUCUUCAAAUGAUGAUAGAGCUGGUGGCAUUUUACCAAGACGCCCACGAGUAGAGCGGGCUGUGGAUGACCCAAUGAGGGAAAUAGAAGGCAAUCUUGAUGAGUAUGGCAGCAAUGCAAAUUUUCACUUGGCAGGCUUCUCUAUGUCAAAUGUCUUUGAAGAUGAAGAGGAACCAUGUGCAAGUGACUGGAAGAAGAGUGAUGAUGAUUUGUCAGUUGAACCCGCUGAGGCCCAAGAAGAUCAAACCAAGAGUUCUACUGAUCCCAUUGAUAGACAUCGGCACAUUUUGGAGGACGUUGACGGGGAACUUGAAAUGGAAGAUGUCUCUCCGACAUCAGAGUAUGAUCCAAGUUCCUCCAAAGAUUAUAUGGUUCAACCAAUUUCACAGGACAUUCCUCAUUGUUCUUUAUCAGAUCAGAGCAAUACUUGUCCUCCUUUGCCUCCAGGUUCUCCUCCAUUGCCUGAAGAUCCACCUCCUUCUCCUCCACCCUUACCUCCAUCGCCACCUCCGCCGCCUCCUAGUUCACCUCCUCCUCCGCCACCUUCCUCUCCUCCUUUUGUCUGCCAGCCAUUAUUGCCUCAGCCUUAUGUGGCACCUUUAAAUGAUACUCAAGCUCAUGUAUUUAGUAGCCAGCAGCCUAGCCAUAUUGUCAGUAAUGCAACUAUGCUUGAUUCAGUUUGUCACAGCUCCUCAGGCAUUCCAUUAUCUCAGAUACAUCCUGGACAAAAUGUUACAUCAUUUAAUUCUCCAAUAUCUUUUGAGAGGUUGCAUGGUGCAGCCUUCACACAGCAGAUGCAAAUGAAUAAUAUUAAUAUGUCUGCAUCUCAGCAAUCUUAUCGUCCCCCUCCACCCGCAAUAGCACUAUCUAAUCAGUUCUCAUAUGUUAGGGCUGAAAUACCUGUCCAACGUGUUUGGUUGGAUUCAUUAUCAGCUCGUGCACCUGAAUGUGAGAAACAAUCUGCUCAAGAGGACCAAUGGAAGCUUGUCAAUAAUGAUAGAAGCACAAGACCUGAAAAUCAGGCAUCCAUCCACCAAGCAGGAGGUUGCAUGACAACCUUAUGUACAGGCUCAUCUUUUAUGCAAGAAGCUACUCCUGGAAUGUUUUGGCAAUCUGGAGGUGCACAGUAUCCUUGUGGUGCACAAAUUCCAGCACAAAACCUUAUGAUCAGAGCACCUGUGUGUCCAAUGCCAAAUAUGGAUCUAGGUUUUAAUGCUUAUUCGGAUCAGGUAGCAGUGUUAACAGGUGGCAUGGUUGCAGCACCUACAGAUCAAGUUUUGAUCCAGAUGUUGACGUCAAGAUCCGGUAUUUCUGCAGCAAACACUUGGAGGCCUACUUGAUACUUCAUACAACGCCUUAAUUUUUUGUCAGAGCAUGUAAGCUGUUCUCUGGUCAUGAUUAUUCUUCAAAUGAACUGGAGGAUAGUUUAUAUUGUCUUCAUGGAGGAUGAUAAUUAGGAGGUUACGGAGCUUACAAUUAUCUCUUACUAAAUUAUUGAUUAUAGUGUUGAAGAAGGUUGCACUCAAGCGCAGCAAUUGUGAGGGGAUGUAUGAAGCACAAGAGUGGUCAAUCUUACCUUUCGUAAUGAAGAAAGAUGCAUUUACAAACACCAAGCAUAGACGAGGAUAAUGCAAGAGGACCGACAACCUUCAAUUGUAUUGAAAGUGAGAUAAUCCACACACCACUUUUAUAUUGGGGUAUUAUAUGCGAAGUAUAUUUUAUCGAUUUAUGAAUUUGGUUUGUU